AUUGAACGCUGGCGGCAGGCCUAACACAUGCAAGUCGAGCGGAGCGGCGGACGGGUGAGUAAUGCCUAGGCAUCUGCCUGGUAGUGGUGGAUAACGUCCGGAAACGGGCGCUAAUACCGCAUACUAUCGGAUGAACCCAUAGGGGAUUAGCUAGUAGGUGGGGUAAAGGCUCACCUAGGCGACGAUCUCUAGCUGGUCUGAGAGGAUGAUCAGCCACACUGGGACUGAGACACGGCCCAGACUCCUACGGGAGGCAGCAGUGGGGAAUAUUGCAAAAUGGGCGCAAGCCUGAUGAAGCCAGGCCGCGUGUAUGAAGAAGGCCUUAGGGUUGUAAAGUACUUUCAGCGGGGAGGCGUUACCCGAAGAAGAAGCACCGGCUAACUCCGUGCCAGCAGCCGCGGUAAUAC
This 407-nucleotide ribosomal RNA is filed under the name uncultured bacterium. RNAcentral's name for it is "partial 16S ribosomal RNA". It matches the Rfam family "Bacterial small subunit ribosomal RNA", at positions 30 to 526 of the family's 1533-position model. The record is from RNAcentral.